RNAcentral lists this unclassified non-coding RNA (2321 nucleotides) under Hevea brasiliensis (rubber tree). The record is from RNAcentral. Lineage: Eukaryota; Viridiplantae; Streptophyta; Magnoliopsida; Malpighiales; Euphorbiaceae.
UUUUUUUUCCUAAAAGUAUCUAUGAUUCUGUUAAUUUCCAUGAAACUGCAAGUAUAGCUAUGAACACUCUUCCAAGAUCAAAACUAAUACUAGUCAUAAAUUAAUAAUUACAUUAUAUGCAAGUUUAUGUAUCUGACAUCCAUCUCUAGUCUGACUUGUGCAGAUUAUGAAGGAUGUAUAAAGAAGCAGAUGACAAGAAAAUGCAAACAGAAUAGCUUAGUAAAUCCAUUCCUGUAGCUAUUGUUACCAUCUUGCUCCUCUCAAACAUCUUCACCAGAAGAAUCAUAACAAUAACAUGCCCUACUUUUGUCUUCAGUUCAUCAAGUGAGCUGAUCUUCAUCCAUUUCGGCCUCUCCUUCAAAGCAAACAUUCCAAAUAAGGAAGAGCCUUUCAGAGCUCGGUCGACAUGGGAAGGAACAUCAGGAGGCACAUUGCUGAUAAAUAAUCCGUAUAAGCCCAUGCCAAAGAUUAGCAUCACAGUCCCAGCAAGAUAAACAUCAAUAGCUUCAACUAAGCGCAGAACCAUCUGUCCAGAGUGAAUUCCUUUAACACAGCUUGUCCAAUAGACUUUAUAUGCAUCAAAAAUGUAAACACAACCCUACAAAAGAUCAGAAGCGGUGGCAGUAUUAAUCUCUGUGUGUGCAUAAUUUCAUACUAAUAUUGAUGUAACUGCAAUUAUUACACUUGAGCUAGAGCUAUAUAUGUUCAUAUUUCAAAGCAGAACCCACCCAAAAGACCAAAACAACACAAGCUUUGUAUCAAAUUUCAGCAGCUACCUGCUUCAAAAAAACAUCUCAUUGUGGUAGAGAAAGCAAUAUAAAUAACUAUGGAAAAUCCAAUUCUAAUGGAGGUAUCACAUUGAACUUCAAAACCCUAUCCUCCAACCUUCAGAAAUGGAAGAAAACCAAUAAACUCCUUUGGAUAAACCUCUACCAUCAUUAUUAAUUAAUGUAAAUUCCAAUUCUAUAUGACUACAUACAAGCUGUUGAUAGAUGCUGGGUAGAAGAAAGUACAUUUAAGAAGCACAAAAGUGAACCAGCCAAUGAGCCUCCAAUAGCCAGAAGUGCCAAGAAACGGAAAUCAAAGAUUAGCUGCCAACAAUGAACAUGAAAAGUGCCCCGUUAUCACACUUGACCAUGCAUACAAAACUUAAAAAGAAAGAAAAAAAAAAGAAUAGAAAUUGGGAUGAUAUAUGUAGAAUCAAUGCACAAAAUAUAUGUUAUGAUGUAGCUUGUAUGUGGAUAUAAUUUUAUGCACUCAAAUUAUGAUUUGACUCGAAAAGCCCGCAAUGCAAUCCGAAUUGAAUAUUUUAUGAGAUUUUUUUAUGGUAUUGGUAGCAGAACGAAUGAGUACAAAUAUUGUAAAUUUUAUUCUGAAAUUAAAAUUUGAAGAGUUCAUAUAGAUUAUAAUUUGUUCUUUACCAUAAGCAUAGAUAUUUUCCACUUGUAUAUUGCCCAUAAAUAUAGAUUUUAUUGCAGAAUCAAGAAAAAUUUAUGUGUUAAUUUUUCUUCAACAAUAUAGAAUAUAUACUCUAAUGAUUCGAAUGGUAAUAAUGAAGAUCUUUGAGGCCAAAAGGUAGGCCUCUCUGCCAAACUUGAACAGACCAGUACUUUGGUCUUUCAUAUCCUUAGGCCUAAAAUGGUUCAAAAUUCGCAAAAUUUCUCCAUCACAUAUUUUUAACCUAUCAAUAAAGCUACUACUUCUUCUUUGGCCUCUCUGUAUUUGAAGAACUCAAAACAGAAACUUUUCACCUCCAACAAUAUGAGAGGAUAAACAAAAUUUUUGGAAGAUCAAUUCCACUAAAAGAAGAAUAAAAGAAAUAUAAAGAAUUAAAUACCCAUAAAAUUUCAGUAACAGUAAGCAAGAAAGGGAAGGAAUUAGUACCCUCUCAAUGUUAGAUUCAGUAGAGAGAACAAACCGCACAAAUGGGCUGCUACCUGUUGGGUUAGCACGUGCAUAGUUGAAGCUGGAAUCAUGGGGUCUAGAGGAUUCAACAAACGGUGUAGAUGGGUUCUUGGAGGAAUCAUGGGUUCUAGUUGAAGCUGAAGCAGAUGCUGAUUCAGGGGAAGAUGAUGAACUUAGAGUAGCUAAGGGACACAACAAACGGCGCGAAAUCAUUAUCGGCCUGCGAAUUGGGGUUGGUAUAGAGAGCGUAGAAGCGGAGAUAGAAGCAAAGAAAGCCAUAGCAGACAACAGAAAGCUGAAUCUACUCAGCAAGUUUGAUUUGAUUUCUCACAGAUGAAACAUGAGCAAGAAAUGAAGUGGGAUUCAGCAGAGAUAGACCAUUAAAAACAAGAUGGGAUUUUUUAAUUUUUUUUCUA